Molecule: unclassified non-coding RNA, 356 nt
Filed under: soil metagenome
Description: partial contains 5.8S ribosomal RNA, internal transcribed spacer 2, and large subunit ribosomal RNA
Rfam family: 5.8S ribosomal RNA (bases 1-120)
Source: RNAcentral
GAUGAAGAACGUAGUGAAAUGCGAUAAGUAAUGUGAAUUGCAGAAUUCAGUGAAUCAUCGAAUCUUUGAACGCACAUUGCGCCCGCCAGUAUUCUGGCGGGCAUGCCUGUUCGAGCGUCAUUUCAACCCUCGGGCCCCGCACUCGUGCGGGCUCCGGCGUUGGGGACCGGCCUCCGCAUCGGGCGGCCGCCCCCGAAACCCAGUGGCGGUCCCGCCGCGGCCUUCUCUGCGUAGUAGCAUAUACCUCGCACUGGAGAGCGGCGCGGCCACGCCGUAAAAGAAACGAACUUUCUCAAGGUUGACCUCGGAUCAGGUAGGAAUACCCGCUGAACUUAAGCAUAUCAAUAAGCGGAGGA